This 253-nucleotide ribosomal RNA is filed under the name uncultured bacterium. Its description in RNAcentral is "partial 16S ribosomal RNA". It matches the Rfam family "Bacterial small subunit ribosomal RNA", at positions 524 to 776 of the family's 1533-position model. The record is from RNAcentral.
UACGUAGGGUGCAAGCGUUAAUCGGAAUUACUGGGCGUAAAGCGUGCGCAGGCGGUUUUGUAAGACAGGCGUGAAAUCCCCGGGCUUAACCUGGGAAUGGCGCUUGUGACUGCAAAGCUGGAGUGCGGCAGAGGGGGAUGGAAUUCCGCGUGUAGCAGUGAAAUGCGUAGAUAUGCGGAGGAACACCGAUGGCGAAGGCAAUCCCCUGGGCCUGUACUGACGCUCAUGCACGAAAGCGUGGGGAGCGAACAGG